GUAGUGGCGAACGAAAAGGAAUGAGCCCAGCGCAGAACGUUCCGGGGCACUCGCCCUGAGAAUGAAUGUUGCGUUAAGGAUAUUGGCAUACACCCAUGGCAGUUACACUUUGCUAAGUCAGCCUCGAAUGGUUCUCGUGAAGCCGGUAACACGGUGAGACUCCAGGGAGGGUGUUAGACCCGUGUGAAGGUGCAAUCUGCUUGGGCAAGCCGAUAUCCCGAGAGUCGCGUUGUUUGAACAUGCAGCGCUAAGCAGGUCGUAGACUCGAUCUAAGGCUAAAUAUGUCCACAGAACCGAUAGUUAACAAGUACCGUGAGGGAAAGUUGAAAAGCACUCCGUAACGGAGAGUCAAAAGACCGUGAAACCACUCAGAGUAUAAGCCAAUGGUGUCUGGAAGGUCCUGUGCUUACAUCUUGGUGUCAAGGACUCAUGCGAACCUCAGCACUUGCGGGAGCAAUCUCCGUUGCUUUGGUAAGCUUGUCCGCUGAAGCACUCCGUUGACCCACCUGGCUCGUUGUGAGGUGUCCUGAGAGCAAAGCGAAGUGUUAAGAUUGGCUUGGAGUUGGGCGUGGGCGUCUCGAUGCCUUUCGCACUCUCCUUUUCGAGCACUUCUUCAGUUCUAUUCGCACAAAGUGUGGUAGUCUUGGAGUGUGCGCUGCUUGACGCUCUCUGGAACCAUCCUCUGCGACGAAGCUUCAAUGCCUUAGUGAGCGGCCGUCUUCCUCCUCGGGAGUCGGUACAUUGGCGCGGCUUGCACACUGUCGGUGCUCCGCUGUUCAACUCUGGCGCAAGGUGUUACGUCCGAUACCAUUGGUCACGUCUCGAAACACGGGCCAAGGAGUAUAGCGUGUGUGCAAGUCUAAGGGUUCCACAAAACCUGGAGGCGUAGUGAAAGCGAGUUAUGGUGUCUCACUGGACUGAUGGAGAAGGCAGUGAUGCGUGAUCCCGCAAGUCCCGGACUCGUCGUCUGCACUGCUUCGGUUGUGUUAGCGCGAGCACCGCAGAGCACAUACGCUAUGACCCGAAAGAUAGUGAACUAUGCUUGGCGAGGGUGAAGCCCCAGGAAACUGGGGUGGAGGCCCGUAGCCGUUGUGACGUGCAAAUCC
RNAcentral lists this ribosomal RNA (1106 nucleotides) under Paracaprella pusilla. RNAcentral describes it as "partial large subunit ribosomal RNA". It matches the Rfam family "Eukaryotic large subunit ribosomal RNA", at positions 83 to 900 of the family's 3401-position model. Lineage: Eukaryota; Metazoa; Arthropoda; Malacostraca; Amphipoda; Caprellidae. The record is from RNAcentral.